Molecule: ribosomal RNA, 253 nt
Filed under: uncultured bacterium
Lineage: Bacteria
Description: partial 16S ribosomal RNA
Rfam family: Bacterial small subunit ribosomal RNA
Source: RNAcentral
UACGUAGGGGGCAAGCGUUGUCCGGAAUCAUUGGGCGUAAAGCGCGUGUAGGCGGCCCGAUAAGUCCGCUGUGAAAGUCCAGGGCUCAACCCUGGAAUGCCGGUGGAUACUGUCGGGCUCGAGUCCGGAAGAGGCGAGUGGAAUACCUGGUGUAGCGGUGAAAUGCGCAGAUAUCAGGAGGAACACCAAUGGCGAAGGCAGCUCGCUGGGACGGUACUGACGCUGAGACGCGAAAGCGUGGGGAGCAAACAGG